GUGAGGAAUUUUCCGCAAUGGGCGAAAGCCUGACGGAGCAAUGCCGCGUGAAGGAUGAAGGCCUAUGGGUUGUAAACUUCUUUUCUCAGAAAAGAAUUAUGACGGUAUCUGAGGAAUAAGCAUCGGCUAACUCUGUGCCAGCAGCCGCGGUAAGACAGAGGAUGCAAGCGUUAUCCGGAAUGAUUGGGCGUAAAGCGUCUGUAGGUUGUUUAAAAAGUAUUCUGUCAAAGAUUAGGGCUUAACCCUAGAUAGGCAGAAUAAACUUUUAAGCUAGAGUAUGGUAGAGGCAGAGGGAAUUCCCGGUGGAGCGGUUAAAUGCGUAGAUAUCGGGAGGAACACCAAAGGCGAAGGCACUCUGCUGGGCCAAUACUAACACUGAGAGACGAAAGCGAGGGGAGCAAAUGGGAUUAGAAACCCUUGUAGUCC
RNAcentral lists this ribosomal RNA (426 nucleotides) under uncultured bacterium. Its description in RNAcentral is "bacterial SSU rRNA". It matches the Rfam family "Bacterial small subunit ribosomal RNA", at positions 354 to 796 of the family's 1533-position model. The record is from RNAcentral.